Lynx canadensis (Canada lynx) is the source of this 1393-nucleotide long non-coding RNA. RefSeq lists it as uncharacterized. The transcript is spliced from 2 exons. Lineage: Eukaryota; Metazoa; Chordata; Mammalia; Carnivora; Felidae. The record is from RefSeq and is a predicted model, not a curated record.
ACAAUAGCACAUGGAGGAAACGAGAGUCAAAGAGCAAUGGGCUGCUAACCAUGCAAAUGAGAAGUGGUAAUCCUGUACCGCAGAACUUGAAACGGCAGCCAAACAGCCAGCCUAACCAUGCAGCUUGUGAAGGAUUCAGCAUGUGUACUUCGCAAGGAUGGUGAAACUGAUGUUUUCAGGAUCUCUAAUUUACCAUUCAGAGUGCAGAGGUACAUCAGAAAUUACUUUGGAGGAUAUGUGGCAUCUCCCAGGUAGGAAAGGACCUAUCCACGGUAACUAGAUUUUUCUGCCGAACAUCAAAAGGAGGUGGUCGUAAAAAAUGCCCACCAAGUUAUUUCAUAGAACCAAAUUUUAUGCAAAGCAUGCCUGAUAGUCAAAGGACAAACAAAUGCUCACUGGCAUUCUGAACUGAGAGCUUCCGUCUUACACAGAUAUGCUGUGUCACACGGGAAGGCACUUAAAACCCCCACGGCCUCACAAGUAAAGUAUUUUGCCAAACCUCAGGAGGCACGACAUUGGUAGAUCCUUUGAAAAUGCAAACCCAUUAUUGCUACAUGAAUGACAGCUCAUAAGGAGCCUUCAGAGUGGGGAAAAGCUGGAGCUCACCUUUUCUUCAAUAGGGCAUUUCUCUUUGAGCCAGUGAUUCAGGACUUCAUCUUUAAACGCGCCCGUGUUGCCCACGGUGCUUUGCUGAAUUUUGGCAAUUGUCGUGGCCUCUUUCACGAUCUCGAUCAUUCCUAUGAGAAGAUGCACAGAGGCUGAUGGACACUGGGGCCUGGGGCCUGACCCAGAGGAGGAAUGGCUGGGUCUCUGUUGACAGGAGGGCAGAGGGCUUUUCAACCAGGCGGCUAUUUCCCUGGUUUGGUUUUCUUAGGAGAGAGAGAAAGAAAAGGAGGAGGAUGCAGAAGUUUUGUGGGACAUGCUUUCAGUCCCUGAAUGAAAAGAGGAAAGGUUGGCUUUCAAAGGCAAUAAGUAAAAGCACUUAUGUGCUGAGCAUAUGUGCUUGGCAAACGGUGCCUUUUCCUUUUUUAAUCACAGGGUCAAAUGGAAGUGGUUUUGUACAGUUCUCGGAUUGGAAACUUGAAUAAAAAUAUGUCUGCUUGAAACAAAAAUGUUAAAUGUCUGUAAAAGCACCUAAGAGUAGAGUAUGUAAUAGUUUCAAUAAUGUGAAUUCUAAGAUAUUAAAAUAAGUGACAGAUCUUUGUGUCUAUUUUUAAACGUUAUUUGUGAGAGAGAGGUUUUAUGUGCAGUGAAACGAGUUACAGUUUAGAGGUGGAGAAGUAAAGAGGAGGGAACAAGUUCUUAUGAAAAUCAUUUCCAUGUAUAGUCACAGGGAUUUAAAUCACACAUUCAUGUAUUUUCAACAGAUCCAUAUUAAAUCAAGAGUCACAUU